GACGGAGGAGGCAAGCGUUAUCCGGAUUCACUGGGUUUAAAGGGUGCGUAGGUGGGCAGGUAAGUCCGUGGUGAAAUCCUAUAGCUUAACUAUAGAACUGCCAUGGAUACUAUUUGUCUUGAAUGUCGUAGAGGUAAGCGGAAUAUGUCAUGUAGCGGUGAAAUGCUUAGAUAUGACAUAGAACACCAAUUGCGAAGGCAGCUUACUAUGCGAUGAUUGACACUGAGGCACGAAAGCGUGGGUAGCAAACAGG
This 253-nucleotide ribosomal RNA is filed under the name uncultured bacterium. Its description in RNAcentral is "partial 16S ribosomal RNA". It matches the Rfam family "Bacterial small subunit ribosomal RNA", at positions 524 to 776 of the family's 1533-position model. The record is from RNAcentral.